UCCUAACCAUAUGAUAUCGGCCUCACUAU
This 29-nucleotide non-coding RNA is filed under the name Bombyx mori (domestic silkworm). The record is from RNAcentral. Lineage: Eukaryota; Metazoa; Arthropoda; Insecta; Lepidoptera; Bombycidae.